GACGAACCGUGCGAACGUUAUUCGGAAUCACUGGGCUUAAAGCGCGUGUAGGCGGGACGGCACGUCGGCCGCUGAAAUCCCCCGGCUCAACCGGGGAACGGGCGCCGAUACGACCGGCCUGGAGGGACGUAGGGGGACCUGGAACUUCCGGUGGAGCGGUGAAAUGCGUUGAGAUCGGAAGGAACGCCCGUGGCGAAAGCGAGGUCCUGGACGUCUGCUGACGCUGAGACGCGAAAGCCAGGGGAGCGAACGGG
RNAcentral lists this ribosomal RNA (254 nucleotides) under uncultured bacterium. Its description in RNAcentral is "partial 16S ribosomal RNA". It matches the Rfam family "Bacterial small subunit ribosomal RNA", at positions 524 to 776 of the family's 1533-position model. The record is from RNAcentral.